GCCAAAACCUCACUCUCUAAAGCCUACAAUAUUUGACAAUUUGCACACACUUUUUACAAUUUCAACAAGGUUGGCUACCAAACCAAACCAAUUCAACAAGGUUGGCUACCAAAUCAAACAAACUUCCCUUAGGCACAUGCCUAUUACUCUGGAUUUUGAACGAGAUGGACACCAUCAGGAAUAUUUAUUGAUUAUUUGAAUGUUUAAAUUUAUUUUGACAGUCAAGCACAGAGGAAGUGUUAUAAUCGGCAUUGAGAAGAUUUAAGUCAAUUGUCGUCUUCAGUUCUUCAAAAUUGGAAAGGCAAUCCUAACAUUGAAAUGGAUAAACUUCUCCAAGCUAAAUGAUGGCCAACUAAGUUCUUGUGUUUCUCGGCCAUCUGCGAAUUCACAGUUAAAUCCAGAAGUUCAAAGGGAGACACAUCCUUCCCCACUUUUGAUAGUGGAUAAUGUGCUUGAUUUGGAAUCUCUUGAAGUGGAUCCAAAGAAAGAUUGCCUAUUUCGAAUUGUGGUCGUAAUAUUCGAGAUAAAGUGAGAAUAAAUUAUAUUCAAAUAGGGCCUUGUAAACCGAUAGGCCAUGUCUCCCCUCAAACUAAGUUUGGGAACAAAAUGCUUCAAUUUAAUUCCACUUGGUUCAACGGACCAUAUUCGCAAUGGCUGGAGUAUAACAUAAAAGCAGAUGUUGCAUUUUGUUUGUGUUGUUAUUUAUUCAAGAACGAACGCGAAAGUCGUGGUAAUGGGGGAGAUGCAUUUACAAAAGACGGUUUUAGGGGUUAGAACAAAGGUGUGGAAUGACUCAAUGCACAUGUUGGUGAAGUGAAUAGUAUCCAUCACAAGUGUUUUAAUAAGAUGCAAGAUUUGAUAAAUCAACAUCAAUCAAUUCUUUCUUCUUUUGACAAGCAAAGAGAAAAAGUAAAAAGUGAUUAUUGUAUGCGCUUAAAAGCCUCGAUAGAUGUGGCAAUAUUUCUCUUAAGAUCGGGAUUUCCAUUUCGUGGACAUGAUGAAAGUGAAGAUUCCUGAAUAUAAAUGCCCUUUUUCUUGAACUUUUGGAAUGGCAUGGAGAUAGGCAUCCGGAUUUGGGAAAAGUAAUAUUACGUCAUGCUCCACUAAAUGAUAUGAUGAUUUGUCCGACAAUUCAGGAAGAGAUUGUGGAAGCUUGUGCUAAAGAAACAACAAGCUAUCAUUGAAGACCCGGGUGGUGAUUUUUUUGGAAUAUUAGUUGAUGAAUUAAAAGACGCCUCAUAUAACGAGCAAAUGACUGUAAUUUUGAGAUAUGUCAACAAAAGGGGAAUGGUUAUAGAACGAUUCUUGGAUA
Molecule: long non-coding RNA, 1312 nt
Organism: Nicotiana attenuata
Lineage: Eukaryota; Viridiplantae; Streptophyta; Magnoliopsida; Solanales; Solanaceae
Exons: 2
Source: RefSeq, a predicted model, not a curated record